CAGCAGCCACGGUAAUACAGAGGGUGCGAGCUUUAAUCGGAUUUACUGGGCGUAAAGCGUGCGUAGGCGGCUUUUUAAGUCGGAUGUGAAAUCCCUGAGCUUAACUUAGGAAUUGCAUUCGAUACUGGGAAGCUAGAGUAUGGGAGAGGAUGGUAGAAUUCCAGGUGUAGCGGUGAAAUGCGUAGAGAUCUGGAGGAAUACCGAUGGCGAAGGCAGCCAUCUGGCCUAAUACUGACGCUGAGGUACGAAAGCAUGGGGAGCAAACAGGAUUAGAUACCCCCGUAGUCCCUGUCUCUUAUAC
RNAcentral lists this ribosomal RNA (301 nucleotides) under uncultured bacterium. RNAcentral's name for it is "partial 16S ribosomal RNA". It matches the Rfam family "Bacterial small subunit ribosomal RNA", at positions 509 to 807 of the family's 1533-position model. The record is from RNAcentral.